AGAGUUUGAUCAUGGCUCAGAUUGAACGCUGGCGGCAGGCCUAACACAUGCAAGUCGAACGGUAACAGGAAACAGCUUGCUGUUUCGCUGACGAGUGGCGGACGGGUGAGUAAUGUCUGGGAAACUGCCUGAUGGAGGGGGAUAACUACUGGAAACGGUAGCUAAUACCGCAUAACGUCGCAAGACCAAAGAGGGGGACCUUCGGGCCUCUUGCCAUCAGAUGUGCCCAGAUGGGAUUAGCUAGUAGGUGGGGUAACGGCUCACCUAGGCGACGAUCCCUAGCUGGUCUGAGAGGAUGACCAGCCACACUGGAACUGAGACACGGUCCAGACUCCUACGGGAGGCAGCAGUGGGGAAUAUUGCACAAUGGGCGCAAGCCUGAUGCAGCCAUGCCGCGUGUAUGAAGAAGGCCUUCGGGUUGUAAAGUACUUUCAGCGGGGAGGAAGGGAGUAAAGUUAAUACCUUUGCUCAUUGACGUUACCCGCAGAAGAAGCACCGGCUAACUCCGUGCCAGCAGCCGCGGUAAUACGGAGGGUGCAAGCGUUAAUCGGAAUUACUGGGCGUAAAGCGCGCGCAGGCGGUUUGUUAAGUCAGAUGUGAAAUCCCCGGGCUCAACCUGGGAACUGCAUCUGAUACUGGCAAGCUUGAGUCUCGUAGAGGGGGGUAGAAUUCCAGGUGUAGCGGUGAAAUGCGUAGAGAUCUGGAGGAAUACCGGUGGCGAAGGCGGCCCCCUGGACGAAGACUGACGCUCAGGUGCGAAAGCGUGGGGAGCAAACAGGAUUAGAUACCCUGGUAGUCCACGCCGUAAACGAUGUCGACUUGGAGGUUGUGCCCUUGAGGCGUGGCUUCCGGAGCUAACGCGUUAAGUCGACCGCCUGGGGAGUACGGCCGCAAGGUUAAAACUCAAAUGAAUUGACGUGGGCCCGCACAAGCGGUGGAGCAUGUGGUUUAAUUCGAUGCAACGCGAAGAACCUUACCUGGUCUUGACAUCCACGGAAGUUUUCAGAGAUGAGAAUGUGCCUUCGGGAACCGUGAGACAGGUGCUGCAUAGCUGUCGUCAGCUCGUGUUGUGAAAUGUUGGGUUAAGUCCCGCAACGAGCGCAACCCUUAUCCUUUGUUGCCAGCGGUCCGGCCGGGAACUCAAAGGAGACUGCCAGUGAUAAACUGGAGGAAGGUGGGGAUGACGUCAAGUCAUCAUGGCCCUUACGACCAGGGCUACACACGUGCUACAAUGGCGCAUACAAAGAGAAGCGACCUCGCGAGAGCAAGCGGACCUCAUAAAGUGCGUCGUAGUCCGGAUUGGAGUCUGCAACUCGACUCCAUGAAGUCGGAAUCGCUAGUAAUCGUGGAUCAGAAUGCCACGGUGAAUACGUUCCCGGGCCUUGUACACACCGCCCGUCACACCAUGGGAGUGGGUUGCAAAAGAAGUAGGUAGCUUAACCUUCGGGAGGGCGCUUACCACUUUGUGAUUCAUGACUGGGGUGAAGUCGAAACAAGGUAACCGUAGGGGAACCUGCGGUUG
RNAcentral lists this ribosomal RNA (1522 nucleotides) under metagenome. Its description in RNAcentral is "bacterial SSU rRNA". It matches the Rfam family "Bacterial small subunit ribosomal RNA". The record is from RNAcentral.